RNAcentral lists this ribosomal RNA (432 nucleotides) under uncultured bacterium. RNAcentral describes it as "bacterial SSU rRNA". It matches the Rfam family "Bacterial small subunit ribosomal RNA", at positions 355 to 796 of the family's 1533-position model. The record is from RNAcentral.
UCGAGAAUCUUCGGCAAUGGGCGCAAGCCUGACCGAGCGACGCCGCGUGGAGGAUGAAGGCCUUCGGGUUGUAAACUCCUGUCGAGGGGGAGGAAGGCGCAAGCUUGACCGAUCCCUGGAGGAAGCACGGGCUAAGUUCGUGCCAGCAGCCGCGGUAAGACGAACCGUGCGAACGUUAUUCGGAAUCACUGGGCUUAAAGCGCGUGUAGGCGGAUGGGAACGUCGGUAGUUGAAAGCCCCCGGCUCAACCGGGGAAGUGGUGCCGAAACGACCCGUCUGGAGGGACGUAGGGGGACCUGGAACUUCCGGUGGAGCGGUGAAAUGCGUUGAGAUCGGAAGGAACGCCCGUGGCGAAAGCGAGGUCCUGGACGUCUACUGACGCUGAGACGCGAAAGCUAGGGGAGCAAACGGGAUUAGAUACCCGGGUAGUCC